AAAUUUUCCUGUAUGGCUUUUUAAUCAAGCCGACGAACAAAAUAAUGCGCAUGUUAAAGCAGAUGUGGUCCUGUUUAUUGACGGAAAAUCCAGGAGGCUCAUAAUUGAUGGUUGCUGGGCCUGAAAUGGCUAGUUUGGUAAAUGAAUUUGAAAAUGACACCGACUGCUUUGUAUACACUAACGAAUCUAAUAAACCUUAUCAUGAACAAAUAUUAUCCUUCCAAGAAUCAUUCCAUACAGACUGCAGAUUGAAUAGCUGAGGAUAGGUUUUGGCACUAGGAAGAACUUCCGAUAUAUCAGUUCAUGGAUGUUGCCUUGUCCUAGG
This 325-nucleotide long non-coding RNA is filed under the name Mytilus galloprovincialis (Mediterranean mussel). Lineage: Eukaryota; Metazoa; Mollusca; Bivalvia; Mytilida; Mytilidae. The record is from RNAcentral.